Molecule: long non-coding RNA, 599 nt
Filed under: Physcomitrium patens
Lineage: Eukaryota; Viridiplantae; Streptophyta; Bryopsida; Funariales; Funariaceae
Description: long non-coding RNA (PPAT_LNC007564)
Source: RNAcentral
CAUUUUACUUAUUCUACAAAUUCCUUUUAGAAUAAAUCCAUAGAAGUGGAUUUGAAUACACAAAAAAACUAUCGCAUGAGCUUAUACAUUAGAGUCACACAUUUAACCAUAAUUUAAACCACUAAAAUACCAAGAAAUAUAAUAAUUCUUUCUUCCAGUAAUAAUAUUCUUGUAUCAACUGAUAAGAACAAUGUGUAACCCUACACUCUCAAAAGACCACUCAAAACACAUAAAUUCCAUCCAACACCAAAAAUAACAGAGUUCACUCCAACCACUCUGGAUUCACACAAUUCUUGUAAUCACAAACUUUCUCUGUCAAAACAUACACAACUCUCAAUAAACAACAAUCAUAAUCUUCCAUCUGUAAUGAAUCUUUCAAUAACUUCUCAUAUAAUUCAAUCAUACAGUAUUCCAAUUAUAUAAUCAAUAACUCAUAAAUCAAUCUCCGAUUUAUUUCACAAAUUUACUUCUCAGUAUUCAGAAACUAUCCAUUACUCUUCAAUAACAAAGAAACAAAGAGGUAGCACCAAGCUUACUCCAGCUCAUGACUAUCACAGUCUGGCCUUUACAAUAUCUUCUUCAAUUUAGUAUUGCUUUAC